AUCGCUUCUCGGCCUUUUGGCUAAGAUCAAGUGUAGUAUCUGUUCUUAUCAGUUUAAUAUCUGAUACGUCCCCUACCCGGGGACCAUAUAUUAAAUUUCUUUUUGGCUCAGGGAGCUGGAGUAGGGGCUUACUCCAUCCGCUCCACGCAUCGACCUGGUAUUGCAGUGCUUCCCGGAACGGUGCGACACUU
This is a small nuclear RNA of Sphaeramia orbicularis (orbiculate cardinalfish), 191 nucleotides long. Its record names the gene U2. It matches the Rfam family "U2 spliceosomal RNA". From Rfam's summary of the family: U2 is a small nuclear RNA (snRNA) component of the spliceosome (involved in pre-mRNA splicing). Complementary binding between U2 snRNA (in an area lying towards the 5' end but 3' to hairpin I) and the branchpoint sequence (BPS) of the intron results the bulging out of an unpaired adenosine, on the BPS, which initiates a nucleophilic attack at the intronic 5' splice site, thus starting the first of two transesterification reactions that mediate splicing. Lineage: Eukaryota; Metazoa; Chordata; Actinopteri; Kurtiformes; Apogonidae. The record is from Ensembl.